Molecule: ribosomal RNA, 472 nt
Filed under: uncultured bacterium
Lineage: Bacteria
Description: bacterial SSU rRNA
Rfam family: Bacterial small subunit ribosomal RNA
Source: RNAcentral
UGGGGAAUUUUGGACAAUGGGGGCAACCCUGAUCCAGCAAUGCCGCGUGUGUGAAGAAGGCCUGCGGGUUGUAAAGCACUUUCAGUAGAGAAGAAAAGCCUAAGGUUAAUAACCUUGAGUCUUGACGUAACCUACAGAAGAAGCACCGGCUAACUCCGUGCCAGCAGCCGCGGUAAUACGGAGGGUGCAAGCGUUAAUCGGAAUUACUGGGCGUAAAGCGCACGUAGGUGGUUUUGUAAGUCGGAUGUGAAAGCCCUGGGCUCAACCUGGGAAUUGCAUUCGAUACUGCUUAACUAGAGUAUGGUAGAGGGAAGUGGAAUUUCCGGUGUAGCGGUGAAAUGCGUAGAUAUCGGAAGGAACACCAGUGGCGAAGGCGACUUCCUGGGCCAAUACUGACACUGAGGUGCGAAAGCGUGGGUAGCAAACAGGAUUAGAUACCCAUGUAGUCCCUGAGCGGGCUGGCAAGGCGCAU